This 1160-nucleotide long non-coding RNA is filed under the name Cavia porcellus (domestic guinea pig). RNAcentral describes it as "lncRNA (ENSCPOG00000034842.1)". Lineage: Eukaryota; Metazoa; Chordata; Mammalia; Rodentia; Caviidae. The record is from RNAcentral.
AUCUUUUUCUGUUUCCCUCAAGCCUCAGCAAAGUGUUUCAGGAAACAAGGAGAGCUCUCAAGUGGAGUCAACCAAAGAAGGAAAUCCAACUACCCCUGCGUGUGACUCUCAAGAUGAUGGAAAGACCUGUUCAAUGGAAAACAAAGAAAAUUCUGUAAGAAAUGCCACUGCAGAAUCAAAGCCAGUCCCACAGAAAUUGCAAAUGCCUCCUUGUUCUGAAUGUGAGAUGAAGAAAGUCCCAGAAAAACAGUUAACCAGCUUCGAAGGCACAGCUCCCAGAGAAGAAAAAAUACUGUAAACACCACAAAACUGCUUUGCAAACGUCCCUUUGCUGUCAUCUUCAUAUUCUUUUUAGACUACAGGCUUGAGGGAAAUACUGUUUCUAAAGCAUGCAAUUUUUUCACAACUUUACUUAACUUUUGAAGUAGUCCAGAAACUUUCCAAAAGAUCCCAGACCAAUUAUGAUCCUUAAGCAAUAACCUCCAUGAAAUGGAUUUAUGCAGUCAGAAAUAUUUUACCAUCAUCACUAAAUUGCUAAAUAUAAGUUGUUUUAUUUUGGACUAAAAUGCAUUGUAACACUUUCUUCUUCUUGUUCAUUUGGAUGCUAGUAUUUCUAUGACCUAGUUAUUUAGAUCAGCUGAAGGAAAAAUGCUUCCAGUCUUCAGUAUUCUUAAAAUCUAAUUUGUAACCACAUCCUUAAAGUUUGGUGCCAUAUGCAAAUUAGGACUACCAUAUUUCAAAUGUAAAAUUCUGCCUACCUUGCUAUAUUCUUUUCGUAAUGUUGUGUUCAACAUUUUUCUUAUCUUUAACAAUAAUUUACUUUAAGUUAUGACAGUGCAACUCUGGUAAGUAUUUAAGCAGCUAAUGAAAAUCAUUAAAAAUAUUUGGGGUGAUGCAGACAAACUACCUGGAUAAAUGAUCAAGUUAUGACACAGCUGAAUUUUUCUCUGCUGCAUCCUGUGGUCACAUCUUUUAUGUACUUUACUAUAAUUACUUUAAUUUGGGAAUUGAGUUGUUUGAAAUGCUGAACAUUAGUCUUGGUACAGAAUUGUGUAAUAGAGUAAAAAAGAUUUGAAAUUACAAAUUUGCAAACUGAUCAUAUAUAUAUAUAUAUAUAUAUAUAUAUUAAUUGAUUUUGCUAAAUGAAUCUGGUAGUUAAC